Long non-coding RNA from Telopea speciosissima, 322 nucleotides. RefSeq lists it as uncharacterized. The transcript has 3 exons. Lineage: Eukaryota; Viridiplantae; Streptophyta; Magnoliopsida; Proteales; Proteaceae. The record is from RefSeq and is a predicted model, not a curated record.
UAUAACGAAUACAAGCGAACUUCCUCUCGACCUUUCACUCACCAUGUCGACCUGCGGUAACUGCGACUGCGCUGACAAGAGCCAGUGCGUGAAGAAGGGAAACAGCUGCGGCAUCGAGAUCGUUGAGACCCAACAGAGCUACUAUGAAGAUGCCGUGGUUGAGGUUAUGGCCGCAGCGGAGCACGACGGCAAGUGCAAGUGCGGAGCUGGCUGCACUUGCACUUCCUGCACUUGUGGACAUUAAACAUAUGUAGUACUGAUAUUACAGAAUUGUGUGGGGAACAAGAAAAUGGGUAACAUUAAUAGUAAGUGUAGUGAAUAA